GCUCAGAAACUUAAAUGAAUUGACGGGGCCCGCACAAGCGGUGGAGCAUGUGGUUUAAUUCGAUGAUACGCGAGGAACCUUACCUGGGCUCAAAUGUAUGUUGACGUAUUCUGAAAGGGAUACUUCUUCGGACAAUAUACAAGGUGCUGCAUGGUUGUCGUCAGCUCGUGCCGUGAGGUGUCGGGUUAAGUCCCAUAACGAGCGCAACCCCUAUCAUUAGUUGCCAUCAGGUCAAGCUGGGGACUCUAAUGAAACUGCCUACGCAAGUAGUGAGGAAGGUGGGGAUGACGUCAAAUCAGCACGGCCCUUACGUCCAGGGCUACACACGUGCUACAAUGGCCGGUACAAAGGGCAGCUACCUGGUGACAGGAUGCUAAUCUCAAAAGCCGGUCUCAGUUCGGAUUGCAGGCUGAAACUCGCCUACAUGAAGUUGGAGUUGCUAGUAAUCGCGAAUCAGAAUGUCGCGGUGAAUGCGUUCCCGGGUCUU
This 487-nucleotide ribosomal RNA is filed under the name uncultured Sphingobacteriales bacterium. Its description in RNAcentral is "bacterial SSU rRNA". It matches the Rfam family "Bacterial small subunit ribosomal RNA", at positions 891 to 1382 of the family's 1533-position model. Lineage: Bacteria; Pseudomonadati; Bacteroidota; Sphingobacteriia; Sphingobacteriales. The record is from RNAcentral.